RNAcentral lists this ribosomal RNA (468 nucleotides) under uncultured bacterium. RNAcentral describes it as "partial 16S ribosomal RNA". It matches the Rfam family "Bacterial small subunit ribosomal RNA", at positions 28 to 507 of the family's 1533-position model. The record is from RNAcentral.
GACGAACGCUGGCGGCGUGCUUAACACAUGCAAGUCGAACGGAAAGGCCCUGCUUUUGUGGGGUGCUCGAGUGUCGAACGGGUGAGUAACACGUGAGUAACCUGCCCUUGACUUUGGGAUAACUUCAGGAAACUGGGGCUAAUACCGGAUAGGAGCUCCUGCUGCAUGGUGGGGGUUGGAAAGUUUCGGCGGUUGGGGAUGGACUCGCGUCUUAUCAGCUUGUUGGUGGGGUAGUGGCUUACCAAGGCUUUGACGGGUAGCCGGCCUGAGAGGGUGACCGGCCACAUUGGGACUGAGAUACGGCCCAGACUCCUACGGGAGGCAGCAGUGGGGAAUAUUGCACAAUGGGCGGAAGCCUGAUGCAGCAACGCCGCGUGCGGGAUGACGGCCUUCGGGUUGUAAACCGCUUUCGCCUGUGACGAAGAGUGAGUGACGGUAAUGGGUAAAGAAGCACCGGCUAACUACGUG